Gadus chalcogrammus (walleye pollock) is the source of this 1735-nucleotide long non-coding RNA. RefSeq lists it as uncharacterized. NCBI's taxonomy places the organism in Eukaryota, Metazoa, Chordata, Actinopteri, Gadiformes, Gadidae. The record is from RefSeq and is a predicted model, not a curated record. The transcript has 2 exons.
GCCAGAAUAAAGCCUCUCCUCAAAAAACCAACUCUCAAUACCACCGACAUCCAGAACUACAGACCGUCAGGCUUCAAGAAGGCACACUCCACUGAGACGGCUCUCCUCGCGGUGACUGAGUCCCUCCUUGCUGCCAGAGCCUCGUCCCUAUCAUCGGUUCUCAUUCUCCAGCAUUUGACAAGGUGAACCACCAGAUCCUCCUUGCCACUCUUGCCGAACUUGGCAUCGCUGAAUCUGCUCUUUCCUGGUUCAAAUCCUACCUGAUGAACCGCACCUAUCAAGUGACAUGGAAUGGCUCCUUGUCCAAACCUUGCACACUUGAAACUGGUGUCCCCCAAGGCUCUGUACUGGGGCCUCUUCUGUUCUCCCUCUAUACCAGAUCUUUGGGCUCUGUAAUUACAUCACACAGCUUUUCCUAUCACUGCUAUGCUGACGACACUCAGCUAUUUCUCUCUUUCCCCUCAUCUGAUAAAGCCCUGAUUGCAACACGCAUAUCGGAAUGUCUGGCACCUGGACAACUGCCCAUCACCUGAGGCUUAACCUCAACAAAACGGAGCUCCUCCUAAUCCCAGGGAAAGAUUGCCCACACAUGGACUUACUGGUCACAGUUGAGAACAUCCCUGUAUCCCUGUAUCCUUCUCCAACUGCCAGAAACCUCGGUGUGGUAUUGGACAAUCAGUUAUGCUGCACCGUAAACAUCACUGCGGUGGCCCGAUCCUGCAGAUUUGCACUUUACAACAACCGCAGAAUCCGGCUCUUCCUCACAAGGGAAGCAGCUCAGCUUCUAGUCCAAUCACUGGUCAUCUCCCGCCUCGACUACUGCAACUCACUCCUGGCUGGACUUCCCGCCUCUGCGAUUAAACCUUUGCAGCGCAUCCAGAACGCGGCAGCGCGCCUUGUGUUCAACCUACUGAAGUUCUCCCAUUUGACCCCCCUCUUCCGGGACCUCCACUGGCUCCCUGUAGUAGCUCGCAUCAAAUUUAAGACGAUGGUACUGGCAUACAAGGCAGUAGACGGAACUGCCCCUGCCUACCUCCAAGCAUUGGUAAAGCCACACACCCCAGCUCGAUCCCUCCGCUCAACUACCUCAGCUGGACGUCUGGUAUCGCCAUCGCUAAGAGCUAGCAAAGGUCGUUCAGCAAAGUCACAACUUUUCUCGGUUCUGGGACCUCAGUGGUGGAACGACCUCCCUGCCGUUCUCAGGACCGCAGAGUCACUCACUAUCUUCCGAAAAAGACUCAAGACUCACCUGUUCAGAGUCCACCUCGACUCUGCAUAGCCACCCUCCCCCUUCUGGCCGCCAUUGUACAUUGUAUUGUAUUGUGUUGUAUUGUAUUAUAGUACUUAACUGUGUAGCAAUUGCAGUAGCUGCUAUCAUUGCUGUAACAGGGGGAAUUUGUUAGCCUAGUGAUUGUUGUACUUGCACUUGGUAAAGUCUAGAUAGAACUUUAUCAAUCCCCUGUAGGAGAAAUUUGUUAAUAAAACAAUAAUGGUAAAAAAAAUAAGGAAUCUCCCACUUCCGGCUUCCAUGAAAGAGAACCAUACUAAUUCACACAAUAGCGUUGAUGCAAAUCUAGCAUUAAAGGUUCAUUUAAGGAAGUUCUCUCCAGUCACGCUGAAACUAGUUUGCUAGUAGUAGCGCUUUAAUUUGCAGUGUAAGAGAAUUCUGAGAAAUCUGAAUGCUGACAAAAUUCUCAGAAUUCUGACACUGCAAUUUAUUUGCACGCUACGACUA